GAGAUUUCGAGGCUUUUUCCGGCGAAUCCACGGCGAGUUAGGGGUCAAGGCAGAAAUUCCGGCAAAACACCCACCUCCGGCGAAACCAGUCCGGCGACGCGAGGAAGAAGACGUGCGCGUGGGCAGCGCGUAGAUUGGGCGAGUGAGGGCGCGUGGGACCUCCAAAUUGAGUUCUGAAAAUUGUCACGCGUUCGUGACGUCGUGUAGAUCACCGUGGU
Pyrus x bretschneideri (Chinese white pear) is the source of this 218-nucleotide long non-coding RNA. RefSeq lists it as uncharacterized. The transcript is spliced from 2 exons. The record is from RefSeq and is a predicted model, not a curated record. NCBI's taxonomy places the organism in Eukaryota, Viridiplantae, Streptophyta, Magnoliopsida, Rosales, Rosaceae.